GAUGAACGCUAGCUACAGGCUUAACACAUGCAAGUCGAGGGGUAACGAGAGGAAAGCUUGCUUUCCUUGUCGACGACCGGCGCACGGGUGAGUAACGCGUAUCCAACCUGCCCCCAACUAGGGAAUAACCUUGCGAAAGUAAGACUAAUACCCUAUAAUUUCCUCAGAUGUCAUCUGACGAGGAAUAAAUAUUUAUCGGUUGUGGAUGGGGAUGCGUCUGAUUAGCUUGUUGGCGGGGUAACGGCCCACCAAGGCAACGAUCAGUAAGGGUUCUGAGAGGAAGGUCCCCCACAUUGGAACUGAGACACGGUCCAAACUCCUACGGGAGGCAGCAGUGAGGAAUAUUGGUCAAUGGGCGGAAGCCUGAACCAGCCAAGUAGCGUGCAGGAUGACGGCCCUAUGGGUUGUAAACUGCUUUUAUACAGGAAUAAAGUUAGCCACGUGUGGUUAUUUGUAGGUACUGUAUGAAUAAGGACCGGCUAAUUCCGUGCCAGCAGCCGCCGUAA
This 506-nucleotide ribosomal RNA is filed under the name uncultured bacterium. Its description in RNAcentral is "partial 16S ribosomal RNA". It matches the Rfam family "Bacterial small subunit ribosomal RNA", at positions 28 to 523 of the family's 1533-position model. The record is from RNAcentral.